This 329-nucleotide long non-coding RNA is filed under the name Salvia miltiorrhiza (redroot sage). RNAcentral's name for it is "long non-coding RNA (SMIL_LNC012962)". The record is from RNAcentral. Lineage: Eukaryota; Viridiplantae; Streptophyta; Magnoliopsida; Lamiales; Lamiaceae.
AUAAAUUGGUAGAUUUAAAAUUUGAAUCUAUUCAUGAAUAUAGACUUUGAAAAAUUUAAAACCCAUGACAUUUCAUUAAUAAUAUUUCUAUAAAAUAUGAAAACAUUAUUAGAAAAUACAAAAAAAAUUGAAUAAUAAAAGUAUGAAACAAAAGCAAAAAAAAAAAAAAAAAAGACUUACAGCACCACCGAUUUCACUAACCCUAUUCACUCCCGUUCAAAAUUUUCGUUCCUCAAUUUUCGCGGCUCCUUCCACCUCCAAAUUUUCGUUCCCUCAACACUAAUGUUCUCCCUCACCGAUUUCGUUUAAUUUUCUUGAAGUUGUCCGGC